AAUAUUCGACAAUGGGCGAAAGCCUGAUCCAGCCAUGCUGCGUGUGUGAAGAAGGUCUUCGGAUUGUAAAGCACUUUAAGUCGGGAGGAAGGGCAGUAUGUUAAUACCUUGCUGUUUUGUCGUUAUAGACAGAAUAAGCAACAGCUAACUUCGUGCAAGCAUCCGCGGUAAUACGAAGGGCGCAAGCGUUAAUCGGAAUUACUGGGCGUAAAGCGCGCGUAGGUGGUUUGUCAAGUUGGAAGUGAAAGCCCCGGGCUCAACCUGGGAACUGCUUUAAAAACUGCUGAGCUAGAGUACGGUAGAGGGUAGUGGAAUUUCCUGUGUAGCGGUGAAAUGCGUAGAUAUAGGAAGGAACACCAGUGGCGAAGGCGACUACCUGGACUGAUACUGACACUGAGGUGCGAAAGCGUGGGGAGAAAAC
RNAcentral lists this ribosomal RNA (421 nucleotides) under uncultured bacterium. RNAcentral describes it as "partial 16S ribosomal RNA". It matches the Rfam family "Bacterial small subunit ribosomal RNA", at positions 360 to 773 of the family's 1533-position model. The record is from RNAcentral.